GAUGAACGCUAGCGGCAGGCCUAACACAUGCAAGUCGAGGGGCAGCACAGGUAGCAAUACUGGGUGGCGACCGGCGGAUGGGUGCGUAACGCGUAUGCAAUCUACCAUUGAUUGGGGCAUAGCCCGAAGAAAUUCGGAUUAAUACUCCAUAAUAUUCAUCAAAGGCAUCUUUUAUGAAUUAAAGCUUUUGCGAUCAAUGAUGGGCAUGCGUGACAUUAGUUAGUUGGUGAGGUAACGGCUCACCAAAACGAUGAUGUCUAGGGGUUCUGAGAGGAUUAUCCCCCACACUGGUACUGAGACACGGACCAGACUCCUACGGGAGGCAGCAGUGAGGAAUAUUGGUCAAUGGACGCAAGUCUGAACCAGCCAUGCCGCGUGCAGGAUGACGGCCCUAUGGGUUGUAAACUGCUUUUCCAGGGAGAGAAACUUACGCACGUGUUGCGUGACUGACGGUACCCUGGGAAUAAGCAUCGG
This 474-nucleotide ribosomal RNA is filed under the name uncultured bacterium. RNAcentral describes it as "bacterial SSU rRNA". It matches the Rfam family "Bacterial small subunit ribosomal RNA", at positions 28 to 496 of the family's 1533-position model. The record is from RNAcentral.